GUGGUGACUUGCUGCAGCGCUUCUGCCGGUGACGCCGUGUCCUCCAGAACGCGGCAGCGCUGACACAUCAGCCGCCUGUCUGUGGCCACGUUACUCAAGUGACAGUGGCAAAGCGAGCUGUGAAAGCUCAUCGCUAGCGGGGGGAGACCUCCCUAGGGCUGGCGGCCACGUUUGGCCUAUAACAAGGACGUGUUCUGGGUUAAGCGUGACUUACACACACCGCCUCUUGCGAGAACAAAUUCCAGACCGUGGCUGGAUCCUGCUCGAAGGGAAUCCAAACCUUUGUUUCGACAUCCACGCCGAUGAAAUAGAAAACGAAUGUGGUAACGGGGAGAAACGAGCUCUUUGGAAACUUCUUGGAGAGCACUGGCACUGUGCGGCCUUGGCCUGGAUGUGGAGCCGAACCUGGGAGGGCAGAAGCGAGAAGCAGCAGGGUGAGGUGGCCACGCUGAAGCGUGAAGCCAGAGGGGCUGCUGCGUCCCGCACCGGCGGCAGCCUUCGUUAGGGCCGGCUCCGCUCCCUUCCGGCAGACACGGUUGUUUUCUCCCCUCCGUAAUGCCCCGAGCAGGAAGGGAAGAGGCAGCAGAGGCUGUUCUUCAUCGUCCUGCCCUCCCACCUGCACCGCUCGUGCUCUCCUUCCAAGCUUUCCUCCCUGCGGGAGAGCAGGGCUCUGCUGCAGCCCUUGCCUGAAGCAGCGUGCGGUACGGUGCCGCCCGCCCGCUGCGAGCGCGGCAGCUCGGCCUGCUCCGCCAGCUCGCCCGGUGGCUCACCCAUGUGUCCUCAAUUGCCAGGAAAGCUCCGUGGGCUGUGCUGGGGAGGGAUUUCCAAAAACUUCUGACCUUUGCUCAGGGGAUCUGCUCUUCCUACAGCUAUCCACCUCGACGCACAGUAGCGUACUUGAGCUGCUGACGAUGACUGAAGGCGAGCAAGCUGCUGCAGAGCAUCAGCAAGGAGCAGCCUUUGGGGCUGUCGGUGACGUGCAACCACUUCUUGGAGGCAAACCCUCGUCCCCCCUGCUGCAGAGCACUUCUGUGUCAGCCUCCCACCUCGCCACCUUGCAGGCUGUGCCUCUCGAGCCACCGAUCCUCCCGGUUCACGAUGAAGCACAGAUGGCUUGGCCUGGCUGCCCUCUGCCUGACAAGAGGACGGAACAAAAUAGCCGCCAGGCAUUUACCAGUCCCAGGACAUUCGGCUUUUUCCUGGCUUACCUCCGACCGGGCCAUUUUUGUGGGCUGACCACCACACGUGAUCCCAGGCGCAUCCAAAGAGCUGCAAAGGGCUGCCCUGCCACGACGCUUCUUCUGACCGUGCCCGUCUUUUCCAGCUGCAGAACGCAGAGGGCUCCGGGUUGUGUUCCCGCAGCCACGCAAGACAUCGCGGAACAGCUCUGCACGGCAGCAGUAACGGCGUGA
Molecule: long non-coding RNA, 1412 nt
Filed under: Anser brachyrhynchus (Pink-footed goose)
Lineage: Eukaryota; Metazoa; Chordata; Aves; Anseriformes; Anatidae
Description: lncRNA (ENSABRG00000002978.1)
Source: RNAcentral